UUGCAAACCAGUUCAGCCUAGCCAGGUUAGACUAACCUGCAAAGAUUGAAUCAAUUCAGGCUGUCCCUAUCCAGGAAGGCUCCCGUAUACACUCCUUUCUUCAAUGGGUCAGCCCUGCUUCCUUCCAGCUCCAUUGUUGGUAACAUUAGAGCAGAGCUGAUUUCGCUGCUACUGAAGUGGAACUGAAAUUCUCCCGUGGCUCUGGGAAAUAAACACGGAGGCACGGAGUGGCCCUAGGAGCUGGAAGCCCAGUGCAAAGCGCGGUGUGCCGAGCCUCCAGCGAGCUUAGAUAAUCCUUGCAGCGCAUCUGGAGGUGGGAGGCUUGCGAAAGGCAGCGAUUUCAUACCCUCCGGUUCCUUCCUGACAACUCAUCCUUACGCAUCAAAUUCCGGUGAGUGACAGCAACCAGAGGCUAUUCAUAAGGGCGGCAUAUCAGCAUGUAAUAAUCAU
RNAcentral lists this long non-coding RNA (450 nucleotides) under Crocodylus porosus (Australian saltwater crocodile). RNAcentral's name for it is "lncRNA (ENSCPRG00005018875.1)". The record is from RNAcentral. Lineage: Eukaryota; Metazoa; Chordata; Crocodylia; Crocodylidae.